UAGCUAACUGAAUCAACAAUGUGUCAUUGUUGAUAAGGUAAGGGAAAAGAAAUGAUACUACCUUACUAUUAGUGUCGUCCAAGUACUCGUGCCAGAAGACUCGGUAAGGCGAGAGACGCAAACGUUAGUCGUCUUAAUCAGGCGUAAAGGGUUUGUAGGCGGCUUUAAGAAUUUACUCUUUUCUCAUUUAAAUGUAGAUUAAAGAAAAAUCAAUUAAAGCUAGAAUCAAGAAGAGGUUAUUUAAAUAAUGCUUGAUAUAGGGUUGAUAUCUAUAGAAUUCAAGUGGAAUACAAACGGCGAAGGCUUUUUUCCAAUAAUGAUUGACGCUGAGAAACUAAGGUGAGGAUAGAAAAAAGGAUUAGAGACCCUCGUA
RNAcentral lists this ribosomal RNA (373 nucleotides) under Xylodon sambuci. RNAcentral describes it as "bacterial SSU rRNA". It matches the Rfam family "Bacterial small subunit ribosomal RNA", at positions 401 to 792 of the family's 1533-position model. Lineage: Eukaryota; Fungi; Basidiomycota; Agaricomycetes; Hymenochaetales; Schizoporaceae. The record is from RNAcentral.